GACGAACGCUGGCGGCGUGCUUAACACAUGCAAGUCGAACGGUAAGGCCCUUCGGGGUACACGAGUGGCGAACGGGUGAGUAACACGUGGGUGAUCUGCCCUGCACUUCGGGAUAAGCCUGGGAAACUGGGUCUAAUACCGGAUAGGACUCCUGCCUGCAUGGGUGGGGGUGGAAAGCUUUUGCGGUGUGGGAUGGGCCCGCGGCCUAUCAGCUUGUUGGUGGGGUGAUGGCCUACCAAGGCGAAGACGGGUAGCCGGCCUGAGAGGGUGACCGGCCACACUGGGACUGAGAUACGGCCCAGACUCCUACGGGAGGCAGCAGUGGGGAAUAUUGCACAAUGGGCGCAAGCCUGAUGCAGCGACGCCGCGUGAGGGAUGACGGCCUCGGGUUGUAAACCUCUUUCAGCACAGACGAAGCGCAAGUGACGGUAUGUGCAGAAGAAGGACCGGCCAACUACGUGCCAGCCGCCGCAGUAA
This 477-nucleotide ribosomal RNA is filed under the name uncultured bacterium. RNAcentral's name for it is "partial 16S ribosomal RNA". It matches the Rfam family "Bacterial small subunit ribosomal RNA", at positions 28 to 523 of the family's 1533-position model. The record is from RNAcentral.